This 225-nucleotide long non-coding RNA is filed under the name Olea europaea (common olive). RNAcentral describes it as "long non-coding RNA (OEUR_LNC000926)". The record is from RNAcentral. Lineage: Eukaryota; Viridiplantae; Streptophyta; Magnoliopsida; Lamiales; Oleaceae.
UAGUUCAUGGAUAGAGGAAAAAUUAUUUUAUUAUCAGAAGGGGCUGUACCCGAAAACAUAUGGGUUGCCUACGUACCCCACAAGGGAUCAAGCCCAAAACGUAGUUCUUUACAUAAAUAACUCCCACUAACCAAAAAUAUCAAAUGUUUCCACAAUACCCAUAUUAGUAACAUGUGUCUUAAAGACUUUUGGAGCGAGUCCCUUAGUCAAGGGAUCUGCAACCAU